Molecule: ribosomal RNA, 423 nt
Filed under: uncultured Allobrachymonas sp.
Lineage: Bacteria; Pseudomonadati; Pseudomonadota; Betaproteobacteria; Burkholderiales; Comamonadaceae
Description: bacterial SSU rRNA
Rfam family: Bacterial small subunit ribosomal RNA
Source: RNAcentral
UGCAACGCGAAAAACCUUACCCGACCUUUGACAUGGCAGGAAUCCUAAAGAGUAUUGGAGUGCUCGAAAGAGAACCUGCACACAGGUGCUGCAUGGCUGUCGUCAGCUCGUGUCGUGAGAUGUUGGGUUAAGUCCCGCAACGAGCGCAACCCUUGCCAUUAGUUGCUACGAAAGGGCACUCUAAUGGGACUGCCGGUGACGGACCGGAGGAAGGUGGGGAUGACGUCAAGUCCUCAUGGCCCUUAUAGGUGGGGCUACACACGUCAUACAAUGGCCGGUACAGAGGGUAGCCAACCCGCGAGGGGGAGCCAAUCCCACAAAGCCGGUCGUAGUCCGGAUCGCAGUCUGCAACUCGACUGCGUGAAGUCGGAAUCGCUAGUAAUCGCGGAUCAGCAUGUCGCGGUGAAUACGUUCCCGGGUCUU